Molecule: long non-coding RNA, 200 nt
Filed under: Vigna radiata
Lineage: Eukaryota; Viridiplantae; Streptophyta; Magnoliopsida; Fabales; Fabaceae
Description: long non-coding RNA (VRAD_LNC006313)
Source: RNAcentral
GUUAAGGGUGCCUUAGCCAUAGAGGGAGACUUUUUCAGAAGUCAGACUUUAUUUGCUAAGUGUUCACUUCUCUCUCUAGAACCUUGCCCUAACCUUGUGCUCUGCCUUCUCUCUACAUUUCCAACACUUUGAACCGUUCAAUUUUUUAUCGUGUGCUGCCAAAUCAUUCUUGGUGUAGAGAGCUUCAAUUCUACCGAUCG